Molecule: transfer RNA, 67 nt
Filed under: human oral metagenome
Rfam family: tRNA
About the family: Transfer RNA (tRNA) molecules are approximately 80 nucleotides in length. Their secondary structure includes four short double-helical elements and three loops (D, anti-codon, and T loops).
Source: RNAcentral
GUAGUAGCGUAGCUGGUUAACGCGUCAGUUUGUGGCACUGAAGAUCGAGGGUUCGAAUCCCUCCUAC